Long non-coding RNA from Oncorhynchus tshawytscha (Chinook salmon), 3830 nucleotides. NCBI's taxonomy places the organism in Eukaryota, Metazoa, Chordata, Actinopteri, Salmoniformes, Salmonidae. The record is from Ensembl.
CUCUAUCCCCAUUACAGUACCCUGUGUCUGGAGCGCUGUGUGUCUCUAUCCCCAUUACAGUACCCUGUGUCUGGAGCGCUGUGUGUCUCUAUCCCCAUUACAGUACCCUGUGUCUGGAGCGCUGUGUGUCUCUAUCCCCAUUACAGUACCCUGUGUCUGAGCGCUGUGUGUCUCCAUCCCCAUUACAGUACCCUGUGUCUGGAGCGCUGUGUGUCUCUAUCCCCAUUACAGUACCCUGCGUCUGGAGCGCUGUGUGUCUCUAUCCCCAUUACAGUACCCUGUGUCUGGAGCGCUGUGUGUCUCCAUCCUCAUUACAGUACCCUGUGUCUGGAGCGCUGUGUGUCUCCAUCCCCAUUACAGUACCCUGUGUCUGGAGCGCUGUGUGUCUCCAUCCUCAUUACAGUACCCUGUGUCUGAAAUGGGACCUUAUUGCCUAUAUAGUGCACUACAUUUGACCAGGCACUGCAUCUCAGUGCAAAAGGCAUCACUACAGUCCCUGGGUCGAAUCCAGGCUACAUCACAUCCGGCCAUGAUUGGGAGUCCCAUAGGGCGGCACACAAUUGUCCCAGCGUCGUCCGGGGUAGGCCGUCAUUGUAAGUAAGAAUUUGUUCUUAACUGACUUACCUAGUUAAAUAAAGGUUAAAUCAAAUUAAAUAAAUAGGGCUCUGGUCAUAAAAUCGGGCUCCAUGUUAAGAAUAGGGUUCCAUUCCGGACAACACCUCUGGGUCCCUGCCUGCCUGCUCACUGUGGUGCUAGAGCCAUAAAAAGGCACCACUAAUCUGACCAGGCUUCACUCUCUCUCUUCUCUCACUCUUCCUCGGUGAGGUUUUCCCUCUUUAUUGGAUAGUGCAGGAGCUGAACCACAAAACCAAUUUUAGUCACAUUCUCAAUGAGCCUUGACGGGGCCCAAUUUGUCUCCCCUCAGGGCAUUGGGAUCCGCUCCAGUGUCCCCCAAAGCCUCUUUUUUAGAGAAAAAGAGGGAUUUUUGGUGUUCUUUUUUUCCGUUAACAAUUGCACGUUUUGAGAUCCAGCAGUUCAUGUGACUCAAAGGCAGGCUGUGCAUUGCGUUCUGGGAAAGAUGGCAGUGACAUCAUGGGUCAGCUAUGACAUCGCACACAGAAAUGUCUGUAACAAUGUAAUUGUUCAUCGAGUGCCUUUAACGAAGCUUCCAAAUGAUUCCAAUAUCUACAGGAUAGAAAAAAAGCACAUGGAAAAGCUAUCUUAUAUAAGGGAACCGUACAUUUUUGAAGGAGUUGUGCUAAACUAGUACAAAUGUACAACCUACUCUAAGGUGCUACAGUGAAAGCUGUCUUGGGCAUGUGCCUGCUUUGUGUCCGUUGGUCUGUGACGCACUGGCUAUUGUCGAUCAACAUUCAUUUACUACAGUGGCUCAUCCCAUUGGGUUGUGCUUUUCACAACCAAUAGAAAACGGGCCCAUCGUGAACUACGUGGUCUACAUCGUGAGCUGCCAUCAUAGCCACCGUAACACAGGCAAUGCAAUCGGAGAAAAUAUAACCAUUCGACAAUCUGUUGUCCCGUAAAACAUUCGACCCACAUGUCUUCCAUCCAAUGACAAGUCAAUGAUCAAAUCUACUGCACCAAUCUACCAACACCAGAGCUACUCAGCUGCCCACUGUCCCCAAACACCUUUCUCUUUCCUCUUUUCACUCACCCUGUCACUUCCACUCAUCUUCUGCUUUCACUUUCCGAGUACAGAAAACUUUGAGAUCACAGGAUAUAUGUGCAAAGUCACCCACUUUACAAUUCCAACAGACAAACAAACCCAAAACGUCUGUGCCGUUUUCACACCAGUGACAACAACCUGUGUACAUUUCUGCACGUCUCUCCGGGUAAUGACAUUGAUUUUUGCCGCGUGGUUUUUUCGUGAGCAGGCGAGCUGCUACAGUAGGAGGUGUCCAGAUCUUAAGCUAGACCCGUUGGUCGGGGUCGACGUUUGCUCCUCAACCUCCAUGGUGUUCAAACUGUACCUGAAACGAUGUGCUCUACAUCACAGACCACUCUUACAGCUGCUACUUUAAGAGACAGACUAAAGAAGAAACCAUUGAUUAACCGUAGGAAUCUGAUCGCACUCACCUUUGAUCACAAAGGUCAACGCGCUACACAUGUUGUCACCGUCUAAGAUUCAAUAGCAAUGACAAUACAAGGAAAAUUAGGUGACAAAUAGAAAUGACCAAAAAAAAGCACACAACAGAACUGUAUACGCUCCAAAUUGCUACCAGAGAUUCAAGAAAGACGAAACAUUGAAGUGAGGAGAGGUUUCCCUCAGUGCGGUAAGAGCGAUAUCGAUGCGGUCAUUAUGUGGUUGAAAUGGCAGUAUCAAGACUGACUGAACUCCUCUCUUAUUCUACGCUAGUUGUAACACAAUGGCCGGGCAAGAUGCCUGAUAAACAUGUACAGUGAUUCUCACUGCGUUUUAGGGAGCUGCAGUUAAAGAUCUAGCUCGCUAGCCUAUGUGUCAGAACAAACCAGCCAGAGAGGGUCAUUGGCUCUACUACAUUCGCUGACACACACACAUACUCACUAUUGCCAGACAUUUCUGAGUAUUACACACACACACACACACACACACACAGUGUUUCAGUCAGUGUGUUAGUCUUCUCAUUAUCUCUUCAUCAGAGUACGGUUAUCACUCUGCUCUUCAUUGCUUACCAUCCUAGUCUCAGUUACUUAGGCUCUAUGGGGCCAACUUCCACGUGAGUAAAAUGUUCACGUUCUCUCCCAUUGACAUCAAUGCAUCACUAACCUAAGCAUAGACUUUAGUGGAAGUUAGGAUUCGCCCCGAUGUCUUUGGUAUGUCCAGAGCAGCCGUGUUCCGUUUCAGUCUACUGUAUCUAUCCAGGCUGGGCCACAGAGCUGCUUCAGUUCACUGCCUUUUUAACGCCGUCCAGUUCUCCAAUCCGUCCCAUGUUGUGUCUGUCUCACUGCCUCCGUCCAGAUAUCAAGCCAGUCGGUCAUAUCUAGCUACCAUAUUUCUAUCAAGUCCUAGGAACAUAUUCACCACAAUGGCAUUCCAAGUUGAUCAAUGUCAUACCCCAUUGUCAUAGGCUUCUUGUGAUUUCCCACAUUGUGACUAGACAGUGGUUUAGAGAAGACUGGCCCUGUGUCCAAAAUGGACCCUAUGUCUAUAUAGGGGAUACUGUGUCCUAUAUUGGCACCCUAUUCUCCAUACAAUGCACAACUGGACUGUAUUAUGACAGACGGUGCCUCAGAGUUGGGACUCCCACAGUGUGACAGGAGAGCUCCGGGCUCGAUAUAACUCAACACUCUUUCAGCUCUUACCACCACGUAAUUCAGUGGGGAAAUUGCUCAAAAAAAAAAAAUGUGUCCCACGCUUUUUAAUUGAUGCUCCGGUUCACCUUUGACGGGAGGCAUCGAUUGGCCACACAUCCCCAGGAGCUCAGCCAACUGGCUAACCUAACACACACCUUCCUCGGAAUGAAAUGGCUCCCAGAGACGUCAAACACUAUUGAGUAACUAUCAUUUGAAAUGGCCAACCAAAUUUGCUGAAGAAACCUCCAGAACUUUCAUUAAGUGUCAGGAUUAUUAUACAAUAAAAAAAAGAGGAAUAUUUAUUAGGACAGCAAAGCGGUUCUUAGAUAUUUUUUUGUUAAGUUCUGUUCUUUGUUGUUUUUCUAUUUUUGCUUUUCUUUGGGUCAGCGCAGAGGAGGAUGUGGUCAUGCCUUAUGCACGCCACUCAGUGUGUGCGAUCCUUGAUAAAUAUCUGUACAUCUGUGGAUGUUAGGAUUAAACUUCGGUUUUAAUGAGUUGUUUUUUUCUCUGAAGCUUUCAAUAAAAAAAUGUGGAAAAAA